Molecule: unclassified non-coding RNA, 912 nt
Filed under: Hevea brasiliensis (rubber tree)
Lineage: Eukaryota; Viridiplantae; Streptophyta; Magnoliopsida; Malpighiales; Euphorbiaceae
Source: RNAcentral
GCAAAACUAAAGCUGCAAUUCUACCGUAAGAAUCCCAUCACAUCCAAUGUAUUUUAUCUCAGGGUGAAUUUAAAUGCAAUAAACUAGUUGUACAUUGCAUUUUCUAUAGUAGCCAAAAGAAUAUACAUUUACACAAAAACUAACUACAAUAACUAUAGCAUUUAGGCAUCAUCAGUGUGGUUAUCGUUGUCAUGGUCGCCUUCAUAAUACUCAUCGUCACGUUGGAUAUGCUUAUCUUGGGUAUGUUGAUUCACGCGCUCAUCUGGAUUUUGUUCAUCUUCAUCAAAAUCAGGAAUAUAAAAGUCAGGUGGUACCUCUUGCAUCUGUACGCUCGGAGCAUGCUGGAGGCAACGGAGAUUUUCCAUCACUUGCAUUUUUAUGGUGCCAAUGUAUGAUUUGCUAUUCAGGUUCUCUAUGUGUCCACCAGGAAGCUUCAGCGAAUAAUCAGGGGCAAAAUAUUUGAUGUAAUCAUUGUCUGGUAUUUCAUUAGGAAGUUCUGUGUCUAAAAGAACUCCAGUUUCCAGAGCCCAACAACGGGCGACAUUCUCUUUUGUGUAUCCCCCACCUCCAGUUACCAGCAGUGGCAAAUUAAAUUUCUUCACAAACCUUACACAUUCAGCAUGUCCAUCAAUAGAGAGGUUGAAGCAGCCCAGACGGUCUCCAGCAAGCGAAUCUGCCCCACAUUGCAGAACUAUUGCGCCAGGUAAAUAUGUUUCAACAACCUUUGAAAUAAUUGUUUUGAAGAGUCUAGUGAAACUGCCAUCAUCUAUUCCAUCCUUGAGAGGCACAUUUAUGGAAUAGAAUCUUCCAUCUCUUUCCCCUGUAUCCUUCAUAUCACCAGUUCCAGGAAAGAACUUAUCCCCAUACUUGUGGAAACUAACAGUCAUUACCCUGUCAGUGAAAUAAAAGGCC